GCCUGGGUGGCUUAGUGGGUUAAGCCUCCGACUUCAGCUCAGGUCAUGAUCUCACGGUUUGUGGGUUCGAGCCCCGCAUCGGGCU
Molecule: transfer RNA, 85 nt
Filed under: Felis catus (domestic cat)
Lineage: Eukaryota; Metazoa; Chordata; Mammalia; Carnivora; Felidae
Rfam family: tRNA
About the family: Transfer RNA (tRNA) molecules are approximately 80 nucleotides in length. Their secondary structure includes four short double-helical elements and three loops (D, anti-codon, and T loops). Further hydrogen bonds mediate the characteristic L-shaped molecular structure. tRNAs have two regions of fundamental functional importance: the anti-codon, which is responsible for specific mRNA codon recognition, and the 3' end, to which the tRNAs corresponding amino acid is attached (by aminoacyl-tRNA synthetases). tRNAs cope with the degeneracy of the genetic code in two manners: having more than one tRNA (with a specific anti-codon) for a particular amino acid; and 'wobble' base-pairing, i.e. permitting non-standard base-pairing at the 3rd anti-codon position.
Source: Rfam by way of RNAcentral